UACGUAGGGGGCAAGCGUUGUCCGGAAUCAUUGGGCGUAAAGCGCGUGUAGGCGGCUGGGUAAGUCCGCUCUGAAAGCCCGGGGCUCAACCCCGGGAGGCGGGUGGAUACUGCUCAGCUCGAGUCCGGAAGAGGAGUGUGGAAUUCCUGGUGUAGCGGUGAAAUGCGCAGAUAUCAGGAGGAACACCAAUGGCGAAGGCAGCACUCUGGGACGGUAGUGACGCUGAGACGCGAAAGCGUGGGGAGCGAACAGG
RNAcentral lists this ribosomal RNA (253 nucleotides) under uncultured bacterium. RNAcentral describes it as "partial 16S ribosomal RNA". It matches the Rfam family "Bacterial small subunit ribosomal RNA", at positions 524 to 776 of the family's 1533-position model. The record is from RNAcentral.